RNAcentral lists this ribosomal RNA (442 nucleotides) under uncultured bacterium. RNAcentral describes it as "bacterial SSU rRNA". It matches the Rfam family "Bacterial small subunit ribosomal RNA", at positions 958 to 1398 of the family's 1533-position model. The record is from RNAcentral.
AACGCGAAGAACCUUACCGGGGUUUGACAUGCUUUGGACCGGUGGUGAAAGCCACCUUCCCCGCAAGGGGCCGGAGCACAGGUGCUGCAUGGCUGUCGUCAGCUCGUGUCGUGAGAUGUUGGGUUAAGUCCCGCAACGAGCGCAACCCUUGUCUUUAGUUGCCACCAGGUUAUGCUGGGAACUCUAAAGAGACUGCCGUUAAUAAAACGGAGGAAGGUGGGGAUGACGUCAAGUCCUCAUGGCCUUUAUAUCCCGGGCUACACACGUACUACAAUGGCUGGUACAGAGGGAAGCGAACACGCGAGUGGGAGCCAAUCCCCUAAAGCCAGUCUCAGUUCGGAUUGGAGUCUGCAACUCGACUCCAUGAAGAUGGAAUCGCUAGUAAUCGCUGAUCAGCACGCAGCGGUGAAUACGUUCCCGGGCCUUGUACACACCGGAGUGC